This 71-nucleotide transfer RNA is filed under the name Anguis cephallonica. RNAcentral describes it as "tRNA-Trp". The record is from RNAcentral. Lineage: Eukaryota; Metazoa; Chordata; Lepidosauria; Squamata; Anguidae.
AGAAAUUUAAGUUAACACCAAACUAAGGGCCUUCAAAGCCCUAAAUAGAGAAUARACCCCCCUAAUUUCUG